This 511-nucleotide ribosomal RNA is filed under the name uncultured Bacillota bacterium. RNAcentral describes it as "bacterial SSU rRNA". It matches the Rfam family "Bacterial small subunit ribosomal RNA", at positions 394 to 896 of the family's 1533-position model. The record is from RNAcentral. Lineage: Bacteria; Bacillati; Bacillota.
CGACCGCGUGAACGAUGAAGGCCUUCGGGUCGUAAAGUUCUGUUGUCAGGGAAGAACAAGUAUCGGAGUAACUGCCGGUACCUUGACGGUACCUGACCAGAAAGCCACGGCUAACUACGUGCCAGCAGCCGCGGUAAUACGUAGGUGGCAAGCGUUGUCCGGAAUUAUUGGGCGUAAAGCGCGCGCAGGCGGUUCCUUAAGUCUGAUGUGAAAGCCCCCGGCUCAACCGGGGAGGGUCAUUGGAAGCUGGGGAACUUGAGUGCAGAAGAGGAGAGCGGAAUUCCACGUGUAGCGGUGAAAUGCGUAGAGAUGUGGAGGAACACCAGUGGCGAAGGCGGCUCUCUGGUCUGUAACUGACGCUGAGGCGCGAAAGCGUGGGGAGCGAACAGGAUUAGAUACCCUGGUAGUCCACGCCGUAAACGAUGAGUGCUAAGUGUUAGAGGGUUUCCGCCCUUUAGUGCUGCAGCAAACGCAUUAAGCACUCCGCCUGGGGAGUACGGCCGCAAGGCUG